RNAcentral lists this transfer RNA (73 nucleotides) under Bigelowiella natans CCMP2755. RNAcentral's name for it is "tRNA-Ile for anticodon AAU". It matches the Rfam family "tRNA". Rfam says of the family: Transfer RNA (tRNA) molecules are approximately 80 nucleotides in length. Their secondary structure includes four short double-helical elements and three loops (D, anti-codon, and T loops). The record is from RNAcentral. Lineage: Eukaryota; Cercozoa; Chlorarachniophyceae.
GCUCCAUUAGCUCAGUGGUUAGAGCUCCAGUCUUAUGAGCUGGAAGUCGCCGGUUCGAUCCCGGCAUGGAGCA